This 637-nucleotide long non-coding RNA is filed under the name Nicotiana benthamiana. Its description in RNAcentral is "long non-coding RNA (NBEN_LNC036550)". The record is from RNAcentral. Lineage: Eukaryota; Viridiplantae; Streptophyta; Magnoliopsida; Solanales; Solanaceae.
GCAAGCCAAGACUAGUCAUAUGUGCUCUCUUAUUCUUUCAUUCUGCUUACUUCUCUAUUCACUGGUAUGUCCUAGUUUUAAUUUAAAGCUCCAACAACAAUUUGUUGCUCUUAUUGUUUCGAUUUCUCUUAUUUAUUAUUUUCGUCUACUUAUGGUUCUAUUGUGAAACUUGUAGUUAAGUUACAUUAUCAGCAUGCUAUUAUGUCUCCCCUUCCCUCUACAUUAAUAUAUUCCCUUAUGUGUGUUUCAAAGCAUGCCUUGUCAGUUGUCUUUUACUUUUUGUGUGCUUACCAUCCUAUGAAUCCCCAAAUCCUUAUCACCCAUUCUAUGUGUUUAUGUUCUUCCUGACUGGUUUGUGAUUAUGCCAAUGUCUAUUGUUUCUGAGUAUUUUGGUAAAAGAUUUGAGUUUUCACUAAUGUUCUUGAAAAGUGAAACUAUUUUCGAAAAACUAUGAAAAGCUGAGCAUUUUAUCUUUGAGUUACUUCCUUAUUUAUCUCUUACGCUAUUAUGAACUGCUAUUGGUUAUUGGUGUUGGAAUCGACCUGUGUUCCAGCUCAUCAUUGCUUUCAACCUAAGUUUAGGUUUAUUACUUAUUGAGUACGUGUGGUCGGUUGUACUCAUACUACAGUUCCUGCAC